RNAcentral lists this ribosomal RNA (319 nucleotides) under uncultured bacterium. RNAcentral describes it as "bacterial SSU rRNA". It matches the Rfam family "Bacterial small subunit ribosomal RNA", at positions 1217 to 1533 of the family's 1533-position model. The record is from RNAcentral.
CACACGUCAUACAAUGGCUGGUACAAAGGGUUGCCAACCCGCGAGGGGGAGCUAAUCCCAUAAAGCCAGUCGUAGUCCGGAUCGCAGUCUGCAACUCGACUGCGUGAAGUCGGAAUCGCUAGUAAUCGUGGAUCAGAAUGUCACGGUGAAUACGUUCCCGGGUCUUGUACACACCGCCCGUCACACCAUGGGAGCGGGUUCUGCCAGAAGUAGUUAGCCUAACCGCAAGGAGGGCGAUUACCACGGCAGGGUUCGUGACUGGGGUGAAGUCGUAACAAGGUAGCCGUAUCGGAAGGUGCGGCUGGAUCACCUCCUUUCU